UGCCCUUUGUACACACCGCCCG
This 22-nucleotide non-coding RNA is filed under the name Arabidopsis thaliana (thale cress). The record is from RNAcentral. RNAcentral also lists the same sequence under 1 other name. Lineage: Eukaryota; Viridiplantae; Streptophyta; Magnoliopsida; Brassicales; Brassicaceae.